CUUCUUGACACAGUCAGACAGAACAAAAGAAAUUUUCCGAAAUGUCAAUUGCAAAAUUAAUAGUGAAAAUUAAACAAUAUAAACAAUAAACAUCAUGUAGUGAUCCUAUUCGGAUUCAGCCAUCGAUUAAUUGCAAAUAUGAAGUAUACAAGUGAUGCUUUCUGGUGGCUAGUGUGUCUUUUAUUACAGGUGGUCGGCGCCCUCGCCUGCAAGAAGAAAUCUUCUUGCCGCCCACCUCGCUGUCCGGGCGGCUGUAAACCCAAGUACUGGUGAUCGCCACACCAGCCGUCACACCGUCACGUUUAUCCUGAACUUAUGACGGUAGUCACCAUCAAAUUUAGUGAAAAUAAUAUGAGAACUUUGCUGUGGUCGCUGUGGUGGUGUGUGUUGAGCCUCAUAGCGACCGUGGGGGGCUGCUGCAAGAAGAAAACAAUCUGCAGGCCGCCGCCCGGCGGCAAGCCCGGAUGCGGCCGUGGCUGGUUAAACUGCUAGCUAAAAGAAAAUCAAGAAGAGGAACAAGAGAACUUAGGAAAUUUGAUACUCAAGGCGUAAAUAACCUAGUCCUAAAUUAAUAAAAUAAUUAUAAAGGUUAAUAAGAGACAUGGAAUCAGUAAACAAAAUAUAACUU
Molecule: long non-coding RNA, 628 nt
Organism: Papilio machaon (common yellow swallowtail)
Lineage: Eukaryota; Metazoa; Arthropoda; Insecta; Lepidoptera; Papilionidae
Exons: 5
Source: RefSeq, a predicted model, not a curated record